RNAcentral lists this ribosomal RNA (493 nucleotides) under uncultured bacterium. Its description in RNAcentral is "partial 16S ribosomal RNA". It matches the Rfam family "Bacterial small subunit ribosomal RNA", at positions 30 to 523 of the family's 1533-position model. The record is from RNAcentral.
AUUGAACGCUGGCGGCAUGCCUUACACAUGCAAGUCGAACGGUAACAGGUUAAGCUGACGAGUGGCGAACGGGUGAGUAAUAUAUCGGAACGUGCCCAGUCGUGGGGGAUAACGUAGCGAAAGCUACGCUAAUACCGCAUACGAUCUACGGAUGAAAGCGGGGGAUCGCAAGACCUCGCGCGAUUGGAGCGGCCGAUAUCAGAUUAGGUUGUUGGUGAGGUAAAAGCUCACCAAGCCUGCGAUCUGUAGCUGGUCUGAGAGGACGACCAGCCACACUGGAACUGAGACACGGUCCAGACUCCUACGGGAGGCAGCAGUGGGGAAUUUUGGACAAUGGACGCAAGUCUGAUCCAGCAAUGCCGCGUGCAGGACGAAGGCCUUCGGGUUGUAAACUGCUUUUGUACGGAACGAAACGGUGAGCUCUAAUAUAGUUUGCUAAUGACGGUACCGUAAGAAUAAGCACCGGCUAACUACGUGCCAGCAGCCGCGGUAA